Molecule: non-coding RNA, 210 nt
Organism: Vicia faba (fava bean)
Lineage: Eukaryota; Viridiplantae; Streptophyta; Magnoliopsida; Fabales; Fabaceae
Source: the annotation of a GenBank genome assembly
AUGAAGAUUGUUCGCCAUGAUUUACUCUCUAUCAUUCAGCUCUUUGUUAAAACUUUCAUUCUUUUCAAUGUAUUUGAUUCUAAAAAAAUAUGUACAAAAUUAGGAAUAUUGUUGAAAAGCAGUAUUUACCUUGUUCUUUGUCCCAAGCACAUUUUACCUUUAAGCAAUAGCUUCUUCUCAUAUUUGUUCACUUGUCACGGUAGGAGUUGA